ACUAUAUUACAUGUAACAGGCGUAUUUUGCCCGAUACAAAUGCCCAAACUUGGCCCAACGAUGAGAGGAGCCCAUUACUUGGCUUUUUAUUAGGGUUUCACCUAAUGGCCGCAUUCCCCUCUUUCUCUGUCAUUUCACACUCACUCACUCACUCUCUCUCUCUCCUCUCCUUCAAUCUUCUCGUCUCCUUCAAUCUUCCCCGUACCUCUUUUUCUCUCAUACUCAGUCCCUCUCUUCUCUCCUCUCCUCCAUCAAUCUUCCCCUUCCAUUCAUGACGAAAUAGAACGAGGAGAGACAAUAAAUGGUUAAAUUGGGGGUUUCACCUCUUUCGAUCUAAACCCUCGUUCUAUUUUCCCCUUCAUCGGAGAUCCCAAACGACCUCAUACUCAUCUCACUCGUACUGCUUGUAUUCUGCAGAUGAUGAAGCAGAGGCUAUCCCUCUCUGAAUUUGAACAAUGUUAAGCGCGAGGAAGAAAAGGAUAGAUGACGAAGAAAAGGAUACCAAGUUGCAACUCUGAUGGUGGAAGAUGUAAAUUUUUUUUAUUUUUGAAGGCAAGAUGUAAAUUAUUUAAUACAGUACAAAUUUAAAGGGAAAUUACAGUAAUCUUGUUUUAUUAUUAUAACAAUCAGGAUUUGUUUUUGCUCUUUUUA
This is a long non-coding RNA of Chenopodium quinoa (quinoa), 651 nucleotides long. RefSeq lists it as uncharacterized. The transcript has 2 exons. The record is from RefSeq and is a predicted model, not a curated record. Lineage: Eukaryota; Viridiplantae; Streptophyta; Magnoliopsida; Caryophyllales; Amaranthaceae.